This 258-nucleotide small RNA is filed under the name Fukomys damarensis (Damara mole-rat). RNAcentral describes it as "Metazoan signal recognition particle RNA (ENSFDAG00000020727.1)". The record is from RNAcentral. Lineage: Eukaryota; Metazoa; Chordata; Mammalia; Rodentia; Bathyergidae.
GCCGGGCAUGGUGGUACACAUGCCUGUAAUCCCAGCACUUGGGAGGCUGAAGCAGGAGGAUCACUGUGAGUUCGAGACCAGCCUGGGCUACACAGUGAGAGUUCCAGGUCAGUCUCAACUAUUUAGUGAGACCCUGUUUCAAACAAAACAAAACAAACAAACAAACAAAGACAGGGUCUCACUACGUAGUUGAGACUGACCUGGAACGCACUAUGUAGCCCAGGCUGGUCUCGAACUCACAGCGCUCCUCCUGCCUCA